UAAUUCAUCCAUGAUCAAAUAUUCAUCCAUAUUUAAAAGUUCAUCUUCGAUUGAAAUUCCAUUUAAUAAUUUCAUCCAAAAUCCUAAUUCUAUCAAAACUCUAAUUUAGUGUCUUCUUGAGAACCUUGAAUUCAACUGGUGAUCUUUUAUUGAUAAUGGUUUUGGGAGAAGUCGCUGCCUCCACUGCCUUGCACCUUGAAUUGUUGCAUAUGAAGGAAAAUCUGAUCUCAUGGAGGAAUGGAAUCUACAUCUACCUGCUUCAAUUGCAUCGUCAAUCGCUUAACUUCGCAACUUCGCCCUUGAUGCCCUUAGCUUUGUAAUGUGGUUGUGAAUUAAAUUCAGUUGACAUUCUUCGAACAAUUGAGAUGCACUACAUUCCGCCUAUUUCUAGCCAGUUCUUCAACUACAUAGCUAGUGCACAACCUGAUGGAAAAAAAUGACCGCUGAACCCCGUCCGUUCUGCCUAUUAUUUCAUAAUCCAGUGAAGCUGAUGAAGAAGGGAUGUUAGGACUCCGAUCCUGCUGAAAUCCUCCGCCUCAAUCGAGCUGGUCGGCAAUCUUGCCCAUGCCAAGUAGUACCACCUCAAGCUGCUCACCGAGCAAAAGAACACCGGAAGCAGGUCAAGGUUGCAUGACAAUCCACGAGGCUUCCAACCACACACAAGGAAAGAAACAAAACAGCCCAAUCACAGCUCCUCUACCACAACUCGUCGCAGCACGCAUCUACACACUUCGCUAGGUAGCUCAAAUCAAGGGCGACCCCCCAACCAACCACGAAAUCACCCAGGCUCUUGCUUCCUCACAGAGUCACAGAGAUCUAGGAAAAACAGUGUUGGAUUGGGAAGGGAAGAGAGUCGGAACUAGAGCUAACGGUACCACCGCAGCCCAUGUAAGAGCGCCUCACGCCUCACUCCAGUCACACCGCAGCAUGAUCUAGCCACCGCUGCGACACACCUUCGUUGAGAAAAAAUUCCACCCUAGAACCGUAGUGGAUUGUUGCCACUUCCUACGCCUAGACAACUCAAACCGUCGCCACGCUGCAAUCGGCUCUUUGCUUGCACCAAAGCCAAAAGAUAGAGAAGCAUGUCGUUGUGGCUCCAUUCGACACAAUGUCAAUGACAACGACAACACCAAGGGAUUAACAACGCUGAUCUCAACAACAAUAACAAAAUCGUACCGCAGCAACAAAGACGUGGACAGUUAUUGCUCGCUCGGCCGCUUCGAAUUCAAGACUAGUUCUAGGGAAGACAAGAAUCGAAAAUAAAAGAAGAACAAAACAGGAAGUACUGCCCCGUAGCAAGUCAACAGGCAGAAGAAUUCUAGCAGGGAGGCGACUCCGAAGCGCUCAAAACUCAUGCAAAUGAAGGAAACAAAAAACAAAAGAAAAACCCGAGAUCUGCCUAAUGCGAAACUCUUCCACGGCACACACCACCAACUUGCUUCUCGCUCGAGACGAAUCUUCACAUCGGGUCGCCUCCAAUCAGCUCAAUUCUAAAUAGUGGCUGCUCGUGACAGCGUGAAGAGGAGAAAACAAUAAGUAGUGGGCCUCUGUAGCCGCUUCAGGCCACAGAAUCCACAGGAGCAGGAGCAAUGCUCCACCG
Molecule: long non-coding RNA, 1600 nt
Filed under: Physcomitrium patens
Lineage: Eukaryota; Viridiplantae; Streptophyta; Bryopsida; Funariales; Funariaceae
Description: long non-coding RNA (PPAT_LNC013354)
Source: RNAcentral